GGGUCAGUAGGUUGGUCGUGCCACCGGUACGUACUGGUCUCACUGAUUCCUCCUUCCUGAAGAACCGUAAUGCCAUUAAUUUGGUGUUGCGGGGAAACAGGACUGUUACUUUGAAAAAAUUAGAGUGUUUAAAGCAGGCUAACGCUUGAAUACAUUAGCAUGGGAUAAUGAAAUAGGACGAUCGAUCCUAUUUUGUUGGUUUCUAGGAUUGACGUA
RNAcentral lists this ribosomal RNA (216 nucleotides) under Glomeromycotina sp. Its description in RNAcentral is "partial small subunit ribosomal RNA". The stretch from base 40 to 216 matches the Rfam family "Eukaryotic small subunit ribosomal RNA", at positions 686 to 864 of the family's 1831-position model. Lineage: Eukaryota; Fungi; Glomeromycota. The record is from RNAcentral.